CGAGUAAGCAAGACAGCAGCGGGUGCAGGCCGCAAAACGCGGCCAGCCGAAAGGCGGCACAUGAGGAAAGUCCGAGCUUCACAGGGCGGGAUAACUGCUAACGGCAGCCGGAGGCGACUCCAGGGAAAGUGCAACAGAAAGAAACCGCCGGUCCCUUUCGGGCCGGUAAGGAUGGAAAGGCGAGGUAAGAGCUCACCAGCGCCUGGGAGACCAGGCGGCUAUGUAAACCCUAUCCGAAGCAACACCUGUCAGAAAACAAUGCGGCGGCCCGUCGGGUUUUCGGGAUGGUGGCUUGAGCCGGCUGGCAACGGCCGGCCUAGAUAGAUUGUUGUCAAAUACAGAACUCGGCUUAUAUGCUUGGUCGCAGA
This 368-nucleotide RNase P RNA is filed under the name Oscillospiraceae bacterium. RNAcentral describes it as "RNase P RNA component class A". It matches the Rfam family "Bacterial RNase P class A". From Rfam's summary of the family: Ribonuclease P (RNase P) is a ubiquitous endoribonuclease, found in archaea, bacteria and eukarya as well as chloroplasts and mitochondria. Its best characterised activity is the generation of mature 5'-ends of tRNAs by cleaving the 5'-leader elements of precursor-tRNAs. Lineage: Bacteria; Bacillati; Bacillota; Clostridia; Eubacteriales; Oscillospiraceae. The record is from RNAcentral.